This 1374-nucleotide ribosomal RNA is filed under the name uncultured bacterium. RNAcentral's name for it is "bacterial SSU rRNA". It matches the Rfam family "Bacterial small subunit ribosomal RNA", at positions 28 to 1381 of the family's 1533-position model. The record is from RNAcentral.
GAUGAACGCUGGCGGCGUGCCUAAUACAUGCAAGUCGAGCGAACGGACGAGAAGCUUGCUUCUCUGAUGUUAGCGGCGGACGGGUGAGUAACACGUGGAUAACCUACCUAUAAGACUGGGAUAACUUCGGGAAACCGGAGCUAAUACCGGAUGAUAUUUUGAACCGCAUGGUUCAAAAGUGAAAGACGGUCUUGCUGUCACUUAUAGAUGGAUCCGCGCUGCAUUAGCUAGUUGGUAAGGUAACGGCUUACCAAGGCAACGAUGCAUAGCCGACCUGAGAGGGUGAUCGGCCACACUGGAACUGAGACACGGUCCAGACUCCUACGGGAGGCAGCAGUAGGGAAUCUUCCGCAAUGGGCGAAAGCCUGACGGAGCAACGCCGCGUGAGUGAUGAAGGUCUUCGGAUCGUAAAACUCUGUUAUUAGGGAAGAACAUAUGUGUAAGUAACUGUGCACAUCUUGACGGUACCUAAUCAGAAAGCCACGGCUAACUACGUGCCAGCAGCCGCGGUAAUACGUAGGUGGCAAGCGUUAUCCGGAAUUAUUGGGCGUAAAGCGCGCGUAGACGGUUUUUUAAGUCUGAUGUGAAAGCCCACGGCUCAACCGUGGAGGGUCAUUGGAAACUGGAAAACUUGAGUGCAGAAGAGGAAAGUGGAAUUCCAUGUGUAGCGGUGAAAUGCGCAGAGAUAUGGAGGAACACCAGUGGCGAAGGCGACUUUCUGGUCUGUAACUGACGCUGAUGUGCGAAAGCGUGGGGAUCAAACAGGAUUAGAUACCCUGGUAGUCCACGCCGUAAACGAUGAGUGCUAAGUGUUAGGGGGUUUCCGCCCCUUAGUGCUGCAGCUAACGCAUUAAGCACUCCGCCUGGGGAGUACGACCGCAAGGUUGAAACUCAAAGGAAUUGAUGGGGACCCGCACAAGCGGUGGAGCAUGUGGUUUAAUUCGAAGCAACGCGAAGAACCUUACCAAAUCUUGACAUCCUUUGACAACUCUAGAGAUAGAGCCUUCCCCUUCGGGGGGGACAAAGUGACAGGUGGUGCAUGGUUGUCGUCAGCUCGUGUCGUGAGAUGUUGGGUUAAGUCCCGCAACGAGCGCAACCCUUAAGCUUAGUUGCCAUCAUUAAGUUGGGCACUCUAAGUUGACUGCCGGUGACAAACCGGAGGAAGGUGGGGAUGACGUCAAAUCAUCAUGCCCCUUAUGAUUUGGGCUACACACGUGCUACAAUGGACAAUACAAAGGGCAGCGAAACCGCGAGGUCAAGCAAAUCCCAUAAAGUUGUUCUCAGUUCGGAUUGUAGUCUGCAACUCGACUACAUGAAGCUGGAAUCGCUAGUAAUCGUAGAUCAGCAUGCUACGGUGAAUACGUUCCCGGGUCU